AUUGAACGCUGGCGGCAUGCCUUACACAUGCAAGUCGAACGGCAGCACGGGUGCUUGCCCCUGGUGGCGAGUGGCGAACGGGUGAGUAAUACAUCGGAACAUGUCCUGUAGUGGGGGAUAGCCCGGCGAAAGCCGGAUUAAUACCGCAUACGAUCUACGGAUGAAAGCGGGGGACCUUCGGGCCUCGCGCUAUAGGGUUGGCCGAUGGCUGAUUAGCUAGGUGGUGGGGUAAAGGCCUACCAAGGCGACGAUCAGUAGCUGGUCUGAGAGGACGACCAGGCAAAAUGGGAACGAGGAACGGCCCAGACCCCCACGGGGGGCAAGCGGGGGGGAUUUUGGGAAAUGGGGGGAAGCCCUAUCCAGGAAUGCCGGGUGGUUGAAAAAAGCCUUCGGGUUGGAAAGCCCUUUUUGCCGGAAAAAAACCCUUGGCCCUAAAACGGGUGGGGGAGGAAGGUACCGGAAGAAAAAGCCCCGGCUAACCACG
RNAcentral lists this ribosomal RNA (484 nucleotides) under uncultured bacterium. RNAcentral describes it as "partial 16S ribosomal RNA". It matches the Rfam family "Bacterial small subunit ribosomal RNA", at positions 29 to 505 of the family's 1533-position model. The record is from RNAcentral.